GUCCAGACUCCUACGGGAGGCAGCAGUGGGGGAUAUUGCACAAUGGGGGAAACCCUGAUGCAGCGACGCCGCGUGAGCGAUGAAGUAUUUCGGUAUGUAAAGCUCUAUCAGCAGGGAAGAAGAUGACGGUACCUGACUAAGAAGCCCCGGCUAACUACGUGCCAGCAGCCGCGGUAAUACGUAGGGGGCAAGCGUUAUCCGGAUUUACUGGGUGUAAAGGGAGCGUAGGCGGCGAUGCAAGCCAGAUGUGAAAGCCCGGGGCUCAACCCCGGGACUGCAUUUGGAACUGUGUGGCUGGAGUGUCGGAGAGGCAGGCGGAAUUCCUAGUGUAGCGGUGAAAUGCGUAGAUAUUAGGAGGAACACCAGUGGCAAAGGCGGCCUGCUGGACGAUGACUGACGUUGAGGCUCGAAAGCGUGGGGAGCAAACAGGAUUAGAUACCCCCGUAGG
RNAcentral lists this ribosomal RNA (448 nucleotides) under uncultured bacterium. RNAcentral's name for it is "bacterial SSU rRNA". It matches the Rfam family "Bacterial small subunit ribosomal RNA", at positions 329 to 794 of the family's 1533-position model. The record is from RNAcentral.